GGGUUGUGAGGUUAAGCGACUAAGCGUACACGGUGGAUGCCCUGGCAGUCAGAGGCGAUGAAGGGCGUGCUAAUCUGCGAUAAGCGCCGGUAAGGUGAUAUGAACCGUUAUAACCGGCGAUACCCGAAUGGGGAAACCCAGUGUGAUUCGUCACACUAUCAUUAACUGAAUCCAUAGGUUAAUGAGGCGAACCGGGGGAACUGAAACAUCUAAGUACCCCGAGGAAAAGAAAUCAACCGAGAUUCCCCCAGUAGCGGCGAGCGAACGGGGAGGAGCCCAGAGCCUGAAUCAGCAUGUGUGUUAGUGGAAGCGUCUGGAAAGGCGCGCGAUACAGGGUGACAGCCCCGUACACAAAAGCGCAUGUGCUGUGAGCUCGAUGAGUAGGGCGGGACACGUGGUAUCCUGUCUGAAUAUGGGGGGACCAUCCUCCAAGGCUAAAUACUCCUGACUGACCGAUAGUGAACCAGUACCGUGAGGGAAAGGCGAAAAGAACCCCGGCGAGGGGAGUGAAAAAGAACCUGAAACCGUGUACGUACAAGCAGUGGGAGCCCCACCACUAAGCCAGUGGUGAACUCCACAUACGCAUCCUUUGCUGAGGAUACGGUUAACGGAGCGAAAGCGACGUUCAACCGCAAAAGAAGCAGAGGGGGCUUAGUGGUGGGGUGACUGCGUACCUUUUGUAUAAUGGGUCAGCGACUUAUAUUCUGUAGCAAGGUUAACCGAAUAGGGGAGCCG
Molecule: ribosomal RNA, 735 nt
Filed under: Salmonella enterica subsp. enterica serovar Derby
Lineage: Bacteria; Pseudomonadati; Pseudomonadota; Gammaproteobacteria; Enterobacterales; Enterobacteriaceae
Description: partial 23S ribosomal RNA
Rfam family: Bacterial large subunit ribosomal RNA
Source: RNAcentral